GAAGGUGCGGCUUCGCAGUAUCGCGCUGAAUAUAUUGUGGAAGUGGCAGUGGUGCGUGACACCUAGGCAAGCAAUAUUAUUGUUCUCUAGAAACUUAAAUUCUGAAUACUCAGAUCUGAUUUUUUCUCGACAUGGCUGGAAAUAUAAAUGACCCAUAUGAGCGUUUGCUUAAUACGUACCGAAAUAUUUCGAUACAAUGCCUCGAGUCCUGCGUGCCAACGCUAAGAAAAACGAAGACGAGGCGCGGAGAGAUUCUCUGUGCCGAAUACUGUAUUGCACAUGAAAUGCAGCUAUUGAGAAAGUCUGUGCUCACCAAACUGCCACAGACAACAAAGAAAUAAGAAUUCACAUGACUAAAUGUUUUAGCACAUGGUUUAUAAUAAAGUGAAAUUUUGGUUCAUAACAACACUAUGGAAAAUGUUGUAUUUAUCAGUAAAGAUAAUUUGUAUACAAGCACUGUUAUAG
Schistocerca americana (American grasshopper) is the source of this 465-nucleotide long non-coding RNA. RefSeq lists it as uncharacterized. Lineage: Eukaryota; Metazoa; Arthropoda; Insecta; Orthoptera; Acrididae. The transcript is spliced from 3 exons. The record is from RefSeq and is a predicted model, not a curated record.